Long non-coding RNA from Lycium barbarum (goji berry), 1380 nucleotides. RefSeq lists it as uncharacterized. The transcript has 3 exons. The record is from RefSeq and is a predicted model, not a curated record. NCBI's taxonomy places the organism in Eukaryota, Viridiplantae, Streptophyta, Magnoliopsida, Solanales, Solanaceae.
CUAGCACGGAGGGAGUAAUUGCUAUGAUAAUAACCAUUCCACUUAACUACAAAAUGACACCCCAGAAAGUUGCCUUUCUACAUAUUUAUCUAUAUAUCCUCUGCUUAAAAAUGAAGAUGGAGUUUCGCGGAAAACAAAAAAUGUGUGUAGAUAUAGCUGUUUUAUGGGAUUGUGAAAGGGGAGACGGUGUUAGUAAGGAAUGUUCUUCACUUGUCCAGUGUCUUUGACUAAUAAUUUUUUGGUAUCACAUCCUCUAAGAGAAGUCCAUUUUACUCCAAUGAGCACAAUUAUGCUAAUGAUACUGUGAUGGUUGAGCUGCCAAUCUGACUUGCUAUUUAGUUUGAUAAUGCAGACAGAUACACCUAUUCUUGGUCUUUUGGAGGUUGGCGGGGGGUCGAAUAGCAGUAUACGGGGACUCUAACUGCUUGGACAGCAGCCAUAUGGUUACCAAUUGUUAUGGACUUUUGAAGAAAAUGCUAGAUUUUACAAGAAGGAAUAUAAAAGAUCCUAUGCUUUUCUCAGAUUCAGUUCGACAGGAGAACCCGUUAUAUGUUGAUAAGAACCAGCUACCAACCCGUAGAACGGAUGUGAAUUUCUCUGCUUAUUCUAGAGUUGUUGGAAAGGAGUUGUUAUGCGGGCGUGACUCCAGGUUUGAAGUAUGGGGAACUAAGGGUUACAAUUUACAGGUCAGAGGAAGGAAUCGUAAGCUACCUGGCUAUCAUGUCAUUGACUUGGGUAGAGGUUUAAAUUCUACAGUGGACGCACCUGUUUCAGUAACAUCUAACACGACUCAGAAGGAUGUCGACUCUCCUGGAAAUGCGUACUGGGGCUUCUUUUAGAUGAUAUUGACAUGCCUGUGCUUGUAGCUACUCAUUGGUUAGUGCCUGCAAUUUUUGCCAUCGCAGGUCUAUUGAUCUUAUUCUGGCGCAUGCAAAAGGGUCGAAGGAGGAGGAGAGGUUCUGGUUCAGGUCGGUUUACUAAUUUAUAGCCUUAGACUUGACUUUGCUUGCAUUCUUUAGUUUUACUGUACUACUGUAGGUUGUUUUAUUGUAAUAUCAUACAAAAAAUGACUAGAUCAUCGAAAGGUGAGUUUUGUAUUAUUAGUGUAGUUAUCUAUAACAUUUUUUCCCUGAUUAGAUUGAUUUCUAGACAGUAAAAUCAAAGAAAUUUUAGCCACUCUCUAAGAGAAAAAGAAGAAAUAACUCUUAUUUCUCUUGGUGGGAGUUAUGGCUUUGCUGGUUUGCCUGAUAAUUUUUCAUCGGUCUCCAAUUGCCUCCACUCGUCGGGUUCCGGUCGUGUUAGUUUUACCUCUCCAAUAGGGGCGAACAUUAUCACGUUAAAAAAAAAAAAAAAAAAAAAAAAAUUUCAAACUCUAUUGAG